GGAGGUCCGAACCUGUUGGUGUUGAAAAACCAUUGGAUGAGAUGUGGGUAGGGGUGAAAGGCCAAUCAAACUCGGAGAUAGCUCGUUCUCCCCGAAAUAGUUUUAGGACUAGCCUCAGGUAAAAGUGUCACGGAGGUAGAGCACUAAUAGGGUUAGGGCCCUCACCGGGGUACCGCCCCCUGUUAAACUCCGAAUGCCGUAGACAUGUUACCUGGGAGUCAGCCUGUGAGGGAUAAGCUUCACAGACGAGAGGGAAAGAACCCAGACCGUCAGCUAAGGUCCCCAAGUCAUGGCUAAGUGAGAAAGGAUGUUAAACCGCAGAGACAACCAGGAUGUUGGCUUAGAAGCAGCCAUCAUUUAAAGAGUGCGUAAUAGCUCACUGGUCAAGUGGUUUGGCGCCGAUAAUUGUCGGGACUCAAGUCAUGCACCGAAGCUACGGAUUCAAGGAACAAGGUUCAAGGUACAAGGAGCAAGCAGAUGCAGUCGUUGGAUGAUUUAUCUGUGUAUACCCGCAGUUAUGCUGCCAGCCUGAAGAUUCAUAAAUUAAGUUUAGAAUUUCCGGCUUAUGAACAGUAUAAAGGGAUUGCAUCGCAAUUAAGAGAUAGUAGUAAAUCCCUGGUUGCGAAUAUCGUCGAAGGCUAUGCUUUUAAGAAACAUAGGCCAAAGCGAUUUUUAAAUCAUUUAGAGAUAAGCAUCGGUAGUUGUGACGAGACGCGACUGUGGCUGAAGUAUAGUUAUGAUUUAGGCUAUAUUACAGAAGCGGAUUAUCUUGAACUAAAAGCGGAAUAUGAGGAGAUAGGCAAGAUGUUAUGGGGAUUGUUGAAGUCCCUGAGCCUUGCGCCUUGAUCCUUGUUCCUUGAGUGGUAGGGGAGCAUUCCAUUAACCGUUGAAGGUGCAUCGUGAGGUGUGCUGGAGGAGAUGGAAACGAGGAUGCUGGCAUAAGUAGCGAUAAAACAGGUGAGAACCCUGUUCACCGAAAAUCUAAGGUUUCCUGAGUAAAGUCAAUCUGCUCAGGGUUAGUCGGCCCCUAAGCCGAGGCCGAGAGGCGUAGGCGAUGGGAAACGGGUUAAAUAUUCCCGUACCAGCUUUAGCUUGUUUGAGCGAAGGGGGGACGCAGAAGUGACCGGCCAGCCGUCUGACGGAAUAGGCGGUUUAAGCGCGUAGGCUGGAGAUGUAGGCAAAUCCGCAUCUCCUUUAAGGCCGAGACGCGAAUAGGAGCCCGUAAGGGCACAAACUGGCCCUAAUCACGCUGCCGAGAAAAGCCUCUAAGCGAGAGCUAAAGCUGACCGUACCGAAAACCGACACAGGUAGAUGAGGAGAGAAUCCUAAGGUGCUCGAGAGAGUCCUCGUUAAGGAACUCGGCAAAUUGACCCCGUAACUUCGGGAGAAGGGGUGCCUCGGGCUGUGAAUGGACUUGCUCCAGGAGCGGUCUGAGGUCGCAGUGACCAGGCCCAAGCGACUGUUUACUAAAAACACAUGUCUCUGCGAAGUCGUAAGACGACGUAUAGGGACUGACACCUGCCCGGUGCCGGAAGGUUAAGGGGAUCUGUUAUUCCGCUUCGGUGGGAGAAGCAGUGAACCGAAGCCCCGGUAAACGGCGGCCGUAACUAUAACGGUCCUAAGGUAGCGAAAUUCCUUGUCGGGUAAGUUCCGACCUGCACGAAUGG
This is a ribosomal RNA of 1667 nucleotides. It matches the Rfam family "Bacterial large subunit ribosomal RNA", at positions 768 to 1999 of the family's 2925-position model.